AUUGAACGCUGGCGGCAGGCUUAACACAUGCAAGUCGAGCGGGGUGAUGGUGCUUGCACUAUCACUUAGCGGCGGACGGGUGAGUAAUGCUUAGGAAUCUGCCUAUUAGUGGGGGACAACAUCUCGAAAGGGAUGCUAAUACCGCAUACGUCCUACGGGAGAAAGCAGGGGAUCACUUGUGACCUUGCGCUAAUAGAUGAGCCUAAGUCGGAUUAGCUAGUUGGUGGGGUAAAGGCCUACCAAGGCGACGAUCUGUAGCGGGUCUGAGAGGAUGAUCCGCCACACUGGGACUGAGACACGGCCCAGACUCCUACGGGAGGCAGCAGUGGGGAAUACUGGACAAUGGGGGGAACCCUGAUCCAGCCAUGCCGCGUGUGUGAAGAAGGCCUUAUGGUUGUAAAGCACUUUAAGCGAGGAGGAGGCUCUUUUGGUUAAUACCCAGAUGAGUGGACGUUACUCGCAGAAUAAGCACCGGCUAACUCUGUGCCAGCCGCCGCAGUAA
Molecule: ribosomal RNA, 502 nt
Filed under: uncultured bacterium
Lineage: Bacteria
Description: partial 16S ribosomal RNA
Rfam family: Bacterial small subunit ribosomal RNA
Source: RNAcentral